UGACGGAGGCAUUUGCGGUGGUCGGCGUUGCGCCGGGCUGCUCGCUCCACCACUUUGUUAGUACUAAUCUUGAAGCGAGUUAGUUAGUCAGCAGCUUAGCGCGUACGUAGUGCCAAGGGGCUGCAUGCAGUAGUCAGUUGAGAUCCGUCGAGGCAGCUGCGUCGUUGUGUUUGUGCGCGUCGUGCGCGCAGCCCCGGCCGAGCGGAUCAUGGGCGCGUUAGAGCAUGUGGUGGGCGUUGGCAUAGCAAGCAGAUCAUGCAUGUCAGGUUAGUGGGUUAGUGGAUGCGUGCGUGCGUGUGCUGGUGUGCGUGCACCUGGCUAUAUAAGCCCAUUGUACUGCUUGUAUGCGUUGUACCGUGAGUUUAAGGAGAAAGAGAUUAGGGUGUUGGUGCGCCCGUGGCGGCGCUCCGGCGCCGGCCACUGAAAAUACUUGUGUCUCCACUCCGGUCGUCGUCUCCUUCCACCUCCAGUUCUUGUUCGUGAGAGAGAGAGCGUGAGAAGAGAGAGUUGCAGCUUCAGGCUGCAACAACAAGUGGUAUCAGAGCCUUGUCGAUCCGAGGCGCGGCCGUGGCGCGCGGUCAGUCCGCGGCGAGCACGGCGGACGCGGAGGCGGCGAGGGGACGCCGUAUGUGCGGCGAGCGCGGCGAGCGCGCCGGACCUGCGUGGUGGCGCAGAGGCCGCGGUGGCGCGGCAUGGCAGCGGCAUGGAGGAGCUGCGCGGCCAUGGAGGCCGUAGCGGCGCCAUGCGACGGCCGUGGAAGCGGGGACCGGCGUGAGCACGCCCAGGUCGAGCAGGCGGAGGCUCGGCUCCAUGGCCGGGUGUGAUGUGCUCACCGGCGCCCAUGUCUCGCGGAUGAGGAACGGCUCACGAUCGAGGAAGGUCUCGCGGAUGAGGAACGGCUCACGAUCGAGGAAGAAGAUGGUGGCUGCGACGGCGUGUGGCGCUGUCCCAUGAUCACAAGUUCAAGAUUAGGAGGGAGAAUGUUAGUACUAAUCUUGAAGCGAGUUAGUUAGUCAGCAGCUUAGCGCGUACGUAGUGCCAAGGGGCUGCAUGCAGUAGUCAGUUGAGAUCCGUCGAGGCAGCUGCGUCGUUGUGUUUGUGCGCGUCGUGCGCGCAGCCCCGGCCGAGCGGAUCAUGGGCGCGUUAGAGCAUGUGGUGGGCGUUGGCAUAGCAAGCAGAUCAUGCAUGUCAGGUUAGUGGGUUAGUGGAUGCGUGCGUGCGUGCGUGUGCUGGUGUGCGUGCACCUGGCUAUAUAAGCCCAUUGUACUGCUUGUAUGCGUUGUACCGUGAGUUUAAGGAGAAAGAGAUUAGGGUGUUGGUGCGCCCGUGGCGGCGCUCCGGCGCCGGCCACUGAAAA
Non-coding RNA from Lolium perenne, 1357 nucleotides. Lineage: Eukaryota; Viridiplantae; Streptophyta; Magnoliopsida; Poales; Poaceae. The record is from RefSeq and is a predicted model, not a curated record.